CUACGGGAGGCAGCAGUGGGGAAUAUUGGACAAUGGGGGCAACCCUGAUCCAGCAAUGCCGCGUGAGUGAUGAAGGCCUUAGGGUUGUAAAGCUCUUUUACCGGGGACGAUGAUGACGGUACCCGGAGAAUAAGCCCCGGCUAACUUCGUGCCAGCAGCCGCGGUAAUACGAAGGGGGCGAGCGUUGUUCGGAGUUACUGGGCGUAAAGGGCGCGUAGGCGGCGCUCCAAGUUAGGCGUGAAAGCCCCGGGCUCAACCUGGGAAUAGCGCUUAAGACUGGAGUGCUCGAGUGCGGGAGAGGUGAGUGGAAUUCCCAGUGUAGAGGUGAAAUUCGUAGAUAUUGGGAAGAACACCAGUGGCGAAGGCGGCUCACUGGCCCGCAACUGACGCUGAGGCGCGAAAGCGUGGGGAGCAAACAGGAUUAGAUACCCUGGU
RNAcentral lists this ribosomal RNA (435 nucleotides) under uncultured bacterium. RNAcentral's name for it is "bacterial SSU rRNA". It matches the Rfam family "Bacterial small subunit ribosomal RNA", at positions 339 to 791 of the family's 1533-position model. The record is from RNAcentral.